UGGAGACGUCGCUGCCGUGAUCG
Molecule: small nuclear RNA, 23 nt
Filed under: Arabidopsis thaliana (thale cress)
Lineage: Eukaryota; Viridiplantae; Streptophyta; Magnoliopsida; Brassicales; Brassicaceae
Description: snRNA_01228
Source: RNAcentral